GGCGGGGCCAGCCAGGACUGCUACAAGUACCAGGUGGGGGCGGGGCCUGGGCCAGGGGCGGGGCCAGCCAGGGCUGUUACAAGUACCAGGUGGGGGCGGGGCCUGGGCCAGGGGCGGGGCCAGCCAGGGCUGUUACAAGUACCAGGUGGGGGCGGGGCCUGGGCCAGGGGCGGGGCCAGCCAGGGCUGUUACAAGUACCAGGUGGGGGCGGGGCCUGGGCCAGGGGCGGGGCCAGCCAGGGCUGUUACAAGUACCAGGUGGGGGCGGGGCCUGGGCCAGGGGCGG
Long non-coding RNA from Gopherus flavomarginatus (Mexican gopher tortoise), 285 nucleotides. RefSeq lists it as uncharacterized. The record is from RefSeq and is a predicted model, not a curated record. Lineage: Eukaryota; Metazoa; Chordata; Testudines; Testudinidae. The transcript has 3 exons.